GUGGGGAAUUUUGGACAAUGGGCGAAAGCCUGAUCCAGCCAUGCCGCGUGCAGGAUGAAGGCCUUCGGGUUGUAAACUGCUUUUGUACGGAACGAAAAGACUCCUUCUAAUAAAGGGGGUCCAUGACGGUACCGUAAGAAUAAGCACCGGCUAACUACGUACCAGCAGCCGCGGUAAUACGUAGGGUGCAAGCGUUAAUCGGAAUUACUGGGCGUAAAGCGUGCGCAGGCGGUUAUAUAAGACAGAUGUGAAAUCCCCGGGCUCAACCUGGGAACUGCAUUUGUGACUGUAUAGCUAGAGUACGGUAGAGGGGGAUGGAAUUCCGCGUGUAGCAGUGAAAUGCGUAGAUAUGCGGAGGAACACCGAUGGCGAAGGCAAUCCCCUGGACCUGUACUGACGCUCAUGCACGAAAGCGUGGGGAGCAAACAGGAUUAGAAACCCUUGUAGUCC
Molecule: ribosomal RNA, 450 nt
Filed under: uncultured bacterium
Lineage: Bacteria
Description: partial 16S ribosomal RNA
Rfam family: Bacterial small subunit ribosomal RNA
Source: RNAcentral